AAAAUGGUAUAAAACAGUGAUGAUAUGAUGCUAAAGUGAUGACAAAUGGAUGCUCAAAACAUGCAAAAUACACACUUAUCAUCAACUACUC
This 91-nucleotide small RNA is filed under the name Arabidopsis thaliana (thale cress). Its description in RNAcentral is "ATSL200370". Lineage: Eukaryota; Viridiplantae; Streptophyta; Magnoliopsida; Brassicales; Brassicaceae. The record is from RNAcentral.